RNAcentral lists this long non-coding RNA (720 nucleotides) under Fukomys damarensis (Damara mole-rat). RNAcentral's name for it is "lncRNA (ENSFDAG00000025271.1)". Lineage: Eukaryota; Metazoa; Chordata; Mammalia; Rodentia; Bathyergidae. The record is from RNAcentral.
CUUAUACAUUUUACACCUUUGGCCCAAGGCUGGCUCAUCAACCAUCCUCAAUUCCCUUCUGCUUCUGUCUUCCACCCCUGCAGGUAAGGUGGGGGGUCAUGUGAAACAGUUUUAUACCCACAAACAUACAAAUGAGAAUGUUUUUGCUUUCAUGAUAAAUCACACGCUCUUAGCUGGUGCCAACUCUUUGCCCUUCUUCCCUCCCGCCCUGAGUGCAGGCAUCAUGCUUGGAUUGAAGCAGCUGUUUUUGCUGCCAUUAGGGAAAGUCCAGGGAACUAGAGUUGCUGGAUCUGCCACUGCUAAAAUACUAAAAGAAGAAGCUUGUUAACAUGAAUCAAGACACUCAUAACUCGUGACUGUCAGCUUUCAUAUUUGGUGUCUACAAUGUUUUAUGUCACUUCAACAAUGGGACCCAGUGGCAGUUUUAUACCAUCAUGAAGACAGAUGUAAGCUGAUGAUUAAUAACAUUCUUUCAUGGCACAAAUUGCUACCUAUGAUUAGGCAGAGUUAAUACACUUAGGGGUGACAGCUUCUGACUCAAAUUAACAGUAUUUAAUAUGCUCUGACAGCUGGUAAUUGACUAGCAAAUGGAAAUAAAUGUUAAAGGAAUCUAGAACUUUUUGCUGCAUAAUAAAUGACUCCUCUGAUUGCUUUAUUAAUGAAGUUCUUUGGCACUGAGCUCAGAUUUGAUCAGUUACAAAUAAUAUUUAUCAAUGGCAA